UACACCGUGCCAUUUGUCCUGACUAGAAGA
This 30-nucleotide non-coding RNA is filed under the name Mus musculus (house mouse). The record is from RNAcentral. Lineage: Eukaryota; Metazoa; Chordata; Mammalia; Rodentia; Muridae.